GUCGAGGAUUUUUCUCAAUGGGGGAAACCCUGAAGGAGCGACGCCGCGUGAGGGAUGAAGGUCUUCGGAUUGUAAACCUCUGUCAUCUGGGAUCAAUGCGUACCACCUAACACGUGGUGCGUUGCUAGUACCGGAAGAGGAAGCAGUGGCUAACUCUGUGCCAGCAGCCGCGGUAAUACAGAGACUGCAAGCGUUGUUCGGAUUCAUUGGGCGUAAAGGGUGCGCAGGCGGUCCGGUCAGUCGGAUGUGAAAGCUCGAGGCUUAACCUCGAAGGGUCAUUCGAAACUGCCGGGCUAGAGGACUGGAGAGGAGACUGGAAUGGUUGGUGUAGCAGUGAAAUGCGUAGAGAUCAACCAGAACACCAGUAGCGAAGGCGGGUCUCUGGACAGUUCCUGACGCUCAGGCACGAAAGCCAGGGGAGCAAACGGGAUUAGAUACCCUAGUAGUCC
Molecule: ribosomal RNA, 449 nt
Filed under: uncultured bacterium
Lineage: Bacteria
Description: bacterial SSU rRNA
Rfam family: Bacterial small subunit ribosomal RNA
Source: RNAcentral